This is a long non-coding RNA of Nycticebus coucang (slow loris), 1319 nucleotides long. RefSeq lists it as uncharacterized. The transcript has 3 exons. The record is from RefSeq and is a predicted model, not a curated record. NCBI's taxonomy places the organism in Eukaryota, Metazoa, Chordata, Mammalia, Primates, Lorisidae.
UGGAGGGCCCCCAGCCUGGCGAAACAAACCGCCUGCGGCUCUCCACGCCGGGCCGUGGGCGCCGGUCGGGUUCACAUCUCCCGGAUGGGUAAACUGAGUCCUGGGGACUCAGGCUCGGGCUCUAAUGCCGCCGCCGUAGAUAGCGGGCUCCGAGGCCACGCUGGGCCAGUGGAGGAGCGGUGGCCCUGACCCUGAAGUCCGGCUGACCCGGGCCGCCGCUUUCAACGAAUACCAGCUCUGCUGGUGGCUGGCUGUGUGACCUUGAGCUAGUUAGCUUCCCAUCUCUACCCCGGGGCCGCUUGCCCUAACGCAGUAGCCCUUGACCUGGCGAAUUGAAGUGAGUAAGAUAAGUUAGAGCUUGCUGAGCCUGCGGAACGGUGCGGGGAACCCAGUAAAGUGAAAUUGUCAAGACAUGAAUCCCAAAAGUUCUGUUAUCCCACAAGUCUGAGGCUACCAGCUUCACAAGGAAAAUCCUCCUUAUGUUCAUCUCAGUUUCUGUGGCCAAUAGACUCUUAGGGAGUUUACUCAUCACCCCGCCACUGGUGUUGUGGCUUUGUGUAAUUCCUUCUGUUUGUGUGUGGGUGGGGCCUGUGACUGACUUCUCACUGGUAUAAUAUAGCAAAGGUGACGGGAUGGAUGGGAUGGAUAUUCCUACGUCAGUGUGACAUGGGUACAUUACACAAAGUGUGGCACCUGUCUUGUUGAGUCUCUCUGUUCCUCCCUGUUGGUUCUGAAGAAGCAAGCAGCCGUGUGGUGGGCCACCUGUGUUGGGAGGUGCACAGAAUAGGGAACUGCAGCAUCUCCAGGAGCUGAGGGUGUCCUCUGACUGAUCGCCAAGAAGAAAUGGAAGCUCUCAGAUCUACAACGACAAGGAACUGGAUUCUGCCAACCACUUGAGUGAGCAUGGAAGCAGAUAUUUCCACAGCACACCUGUUGAAAAUUACUGCUCUGGGGACUUGAAUCCAGAUCUGUCUGACUCCAAGCCCAGGGCUUACUCUGUUAAGCUUCUCUACACGAAGUAAGCCUCUAAAGAGGCAAAGGAUCUCCUCAGUCCUCUUUUGCUCUCUGGAGAAGACUGCUAUUCCUGGUGGGACUGGCAUGCCCUGCCCCAGGCCUUGCCCCCUGAGAGUGAGUGUGGGGCCCACUGGCUGGCACUGGUUAGACUUGCAGCUGGUUUUCCGCUGGCACAGUGGUUCGGCCUGGAUGAGAAGGCAGUCCCCUGGGCUCUUAGUCCCAGACCUGGCAGUAACUCCAUGUGACCUGGAAAAAGUUACUCCCAACUUUGGGACUUGGCUUCUUCUCCUGAUAAUAUAAGAGCC